Molecule: long non-coding RNA, 4712 nt
Organism: Chiroxiphia lanceolata (lance-tailed manakin)
Lineage: Eukaryota; Metazoa; Chordata; Aves; Passeriformes; Pipridae
Exons: 2
Source: RefSeq, a predicted model, not a curated record
CUGUGAGGGAGCUGUGGAGAGAGGAGCCCACUCUGGAGAAGGACUGCACCCUGUGGAAAGGGACCCGUGCUGGAGCAGUUUGUGAAGAACUGCUGCCCGAGGGAAGGGCUCAGGCUGGAGAAGUUCCUGGAGGAUCCCACACUGGAGCAGGGAAAGAGUGUGAGGAGUCCUCCCCGUGAAGAGGAAGGAGCAGCAGAGACGCCGUGUGAUGGACUGACCACAACCCCCAUUCCCGGUCCCCCUGCUGGACAGGAGGAGGCAGAGAAACCGGGAGUGAAGCUGAGCCUGGGAAGGAGGGAGAGCUCUGAUCAAGGGAAUCCAUGGGAAUUCAGAAUGCUGAGCACCUCACAGCCUCCAACAAAAGAUCUGCUUUGGUUUCCCCUGAAAGCAAAUCUGUGCCAAGAGCCUGCUCAUGAAUUUGUCCACAGAAAGACAUUUUCCUGCUCUAUGAAAAGGUCUAAUUUAAUUUCCCUUCAAUAAAGUGGCCUCAUUCUCAAUCUCAUUCUUAUUCUGAGCUGACUGUCUUUUCCCAAGGUUGGUUUGGAAGUGGCUGAAUCUAAACCAGAUUAAGUUUUGCAGUGGCAUGAAAGGAAUUAUACAUGUGGAGUUGCCCUAGUUUAACCACACUUCAUGCUAAUUAAAGUAGUCAAUAUAGAAGUUUUUUUCCACAGAGCAGUCUCCAUUUGUGCACCCACAUUUUUAGCAUCAGUGUAGACUCAUGAAUUCCUCCUUAGUGAAUCCACUGAGGGCCUGGUGAAAUUUUUUUUCACAGAUGUUGUGUGGAGAAUCAUGGCUUUUCAAUGGCAGCCCUUGUUUUAUUUGUUUAAUUGGAAUAUUUUGUUCCCAUGAAAAAUGUAAACUUUUAAUUAUUAUAUUGAAAUUAUAUAUCUAUUCUAUUAGGAGCAGUUUAGCACCACAGCAUAUAAAUGACAUGCAUUUGAGUAUUUAUUAAACCAGUAUUCAAUGUACCUACUUAUACAGACUUGGAGACUGGAAAACAGUGGAUUUUUUCACCAUUUUUCUUGAAUUUGGUGUGCCUUUCAUUACAGAUCAAGGAUUAUCUCUGCCACCUUUCUUCAGCCAUCUGAUCAGCAGUGAGAGGCUGAAUGAGCACCAAUAGAUCUCCUGAAGGUGAGGAAAGUCCUGUCCAGAACAGACAGAGAGGGAAAAAAAGGUUAUGGUCCAAAAAGUGGCAACAGACAGGAUGCACAGAUACUGAAUAUUCAUGGUGUGAUUUGGCUUCACCAUGUUGGAAUUUCCUGAAACCACAAAUGAGCUUUUUAAGAGUCCUUUUGAACUCUGAAAUCUUUUAAUCUGCAAGUAGCAAAGGAUUCCCAUUUAAACACCCAGAAGAGAGGUACUGCAGUACUCCCUCUUCUGCACUCACAGAAUGGCUUUUUGGUGAGGGCUGUGAUUUAGGCAUGAGGAUGUGAGAGUGUAUUUGUGUAUGCUACCUCCUACAGCUUGUGGUUUUAUUUGUAGCAGGUGUUGCACCACUAAGGAGUAGCAAUAAUUCACAAACAUCCCCCCCAACUCUCCAAGACACAAAAAAUGCUAUUUUUUUUUCACAUUAAUUAGGCUCAUAUUUAUAGAAUUCCUUAACAGGUCUUUCUAUGAUAAGCCUCAGGAGGUGGCCUGAGGUUUUUCCUCUUGCUUGUAUUUAAACAGCCCCCACUGUUACCCACUUCUGCAAGAGGCAUUUUGCUUCAUAGAAUCACAGAGUCACAGAAUGCCCUGAGUUGGAAUUGACCCACAAAAAUCGAGUCCAGCUCCUGGACCUGCCCAAGACAACCCCAAGACUCACACCCUGUGCCUGAGAUCGUUGUCCAAACCCUCCUGGAGGUCUGGCAGCCUUGGUGCUGUGCCCACUGCCCUGGGGAGCCUGGUCAGUGCCCAACCACCCUCUGGGGGAAGAACCUUUUCCUAAUAUCCAACCUAAACCUGCCUGACACAGCUCCAGGCCAUUCCUGGAGCCCUGUGGAGCCCCACCAGUGACUGGUCUCUACUUCUGUAGCUUUGUGUUUCACUUUAGAGCUGUUGCUCUCUCCAUGUCCAGAGCUCCAUACAAACAUGUUUUAGCCAUCAGAAUUUACAAGCUCGUUCUCCUUGCAAGCUCAUUUCCAGCUUUCCACCAGUGCUUUAGACCUGGUUUUGCUUUCCCCUGCUGCCACCACUGCAUAUUUUGCCCUUGGCUAGAGCAGCCCCCGUUGUCAGAGCUGCUCCGGGGUGGCCUCCUAACCAGAAGGAUCAGUCCUGCCUGACUCAGCAGCCUCUCACCUCAGCAGGGGGAGUUUCUCACACGUCAGACCAAAUGGAUGUCAAACCCCCCUUCUUCCAGGGUUGGGGCUGCCUUUGCUUCACACGGGUUCAUAAAGGAGGCCAGUAUGGUUUCUGAUAUAAAAAACAUGUGACAAAAUCCCACAGGCUGCAGUGUUUGCCCCCAUUUCCCUGCAGUUCAUGUGGCGUGGCAGCACUGACUGGUCUCACCACAGCUGCCCUCCUGUGAUGCAGGAACAGGACUUGGCCAUGGAAUCCAAUUUUGUAGAGAGGCAGCUGUGAAUCUGAACACAAUUAAAACAACUCCAGGUGGAGUUUCACACAUUUCAGGUGACAGGAGCAGCUGCACUGUCCUCUAAUGUGCUUUGAGCUCUCAGGUGGAAUCUGCUGCAUUUGAACUGCUGUAAGAAUUGAGAUAUUCCUGUUUCUCUUUCUGGAUUAUCCCACACGUAUCCUGAUUUGGUGAAGCCUUUUCUAACCAAUCCUUUGGGCCAUUGAUAAGUUUCUACCAGUGUAAAAAGACCAGUGUAAUUUAAGGCAUAAAAUACCAGUGUAAAACUGAGGUUUAAGGCCCAAAUCACAUCAAAAGACUCCACGUCCUACCUUUAAAUGAGGAGAUGUACAAAAGUGGCCAAGGGUUGUGCAAAAUUCUUAAUUUGCUCAGAUAUUUUACAUGAUCAGUAGAGGAAAAAAUGUACAUAUCGGUAAAAAAAAAUAAAAAUAAAACUUUGGAGGGAUUUGUCACGUUUUAGGAACAGGAAUUUUGCUGUCCCCGAGUGGGAAUCUUGGCUCACAUGGGGAGCUGGGGGCUGUCACAUCCUCUUUCCCCAUCAUAAGGCAAAGCUGACCCUGAAAAACACACUGAGAUCCACAAAAAUGAUGUAAAUGAAUAAUUUAUAUUCAAAACCUCCCCCCGCAGUGGAACAAAACCUGGAGGAUUUGUCCAGGAGGCUCAUUUAAAACAGAGGCUGAAGAUGUGGCAGCUUGAGGAUUCCCACAUUUUUGGCUUAUUUUGGGGGUUUUUACAGCUGUUCAUGGGAUAUUUUUCCAUCGGCUCUGAGGGAAAACACACAAAAAAUACAAAAACCAAGGAUGACUUGUGCAAUUGCAGCCCCAAUUCUCAGCUAAGGCAGCAAAUUGCCUGCAUUUGUGUUUCCAAAAAAACGUGGAUUUAAGAAGAAAAUACGCAAAACUUUAAAUUGCUCAUUUGGUGAUGUCAUGAAAAUUAUUUUUAAAGUCUUCUGUGGCUUACAGUUUGAUAUCCAGUAAUUUUGCUUUCCAAAUGUUAAUAAAUGCUGGUUUGGUUUUCUUGUUGCAAAUUGCUUUGGAUUAUAAUAAUUGUAUCACAAAUUCCAUCUUCUGUGGUAAUUAUUUCUGUGCAGAGUGUUGUAUUUACCUUUAAUGGGUUUGGGUCCAUCUCCCUUGACGAUUUUGCCCUUGGAAGCUUGUUUUCAUUCCUCUUUUUCCUCCCUUGCAGGACUCAAAGUGUUAAUAAACACUUUGCAAAGCUACUUGUUUUUGUUCAUUAGUUUUCUUUAAUAGCUCUGAGUUACAAAAAAACUAACACAGCAUGUGAGACAAACAGCAGAGGUGCUCCAAAUAUUUCAAUAAAUACUGUUAUUUUCUGUGUUUCUUCCUGGCAGAAUGUGAAGUAAACCAGGCAGGAUCCUUGGCUUUUAAAUUCUUCUCAUCUGUGGUGUUGUUUCAGCCUCUGAGGCUAUUUAAAAUGCCUCGCCUGUUGUUUGUAAUUUUGCAAGACUGACAUCUAAACCCUCAUAUAUUUUUACAAUGCCCAUUCAAGCAUUUUGCCACCUGACAGCCUCCCCUGAUUAUUGAGCUUUUUGUCUUGGUGAAAACCCUGUUAACUUUCUGUUCCACUCUGCCUUCAGUGUGACAAAGGACUAAAAGUAUUAUUUUCUUUCUGAUGGUAUUUUAUACAAUUUGAAAGCACUGCGUGCACAGUGCCAGGAAAAAAAAAACAACCAAACCUGGGGAAAAAAAAAAAGUUAAAUAAUCUGGUUCUUUUUAAAGAAUUUUUACCUUUAGUCUCUUUAAUAAUAUUAAUCACAAAGGCAGUGGGGAACUUUUCCCUGUGAUCUGGGAUGCUUAAUGCUGUGUGGACAUGUCCAGUGGAGGGCACUUGCUUGGAAAUGUGGGGGAGGAUGCUCUCAGGAGCUAUUAACAGCCAUCUGUUAUAAUAAUCUGAUUUAUUUUUCAGCAGUUUUCAGUGGACAAGGUUGUGAACACCCUGACAUAGUGACAUAUGUCAGACCCAGACAAGUGUCUCCCAUCUGCUGCCUUGCUGGCCCGUAAGACAUGUUAUGAAAUAUUAGAACAUGGGGUUUUUUUCCAUCUAGUUUCCAGCUUCAUUUCCAAAUCUGGCAUUAUUUCCCAGCUGGGCCCACAGACAGCAAAAAAAAAAAAAAAAAAAAAAA